Molecule: non-coding RNA, 68 nt
Organism: Strongylocentrotus purpuratus (purple sea urchin)
Lineage: Eukaryota; Metazoa; Echinodermata; Echinoidea; Camarodonta; Strongylocentrotidae
Source: Rfam
GAAGGAUUUGUGAUGACUGUGCAUGAAAGCCAUCAAUUUGGAGAUGCACAGUUUGAUGUUUUUCUUUC